AAUCUUAGCGGUGGAUCACUCGGUUCGUGGAUCGAUGAAGAACGCAGCUAGCUGCGAUAAAUAGUGCGAAUUGCAGACACAUUGAGCACUAAAAAUUCGAACGCACAUUGCGCCAUCGGGUUCAUUCCCGUUGGCACGUCUGGCUGAGGGUUGAAAUAUUGAAAGAAAUGCCAUAAUGAAAUAUAUACGAUAAGCUAUGAUAGGGGAUAAAUGAGAAGUACUAUCGUACCUUAUUUAGCUUAUCGAUUAUUGAAUAUCUCGUUGCUUGAAUGAGAUAGGAAGAAAAUAUCGAAACAUCAAAAUGAUCGCAAAUGUCAAUUCCAGCGUGUAUUGUAUGCAUAAUAUAGUUGGAAUGAUUGACUAACGCGAUAAUAAUGAUGUUUAUGAAGAAUUUUUUGACCUCAGCUCAGUCGUGAAUACCCGCUGAAUUUAAGCAUAUAACUAAGCGGAGGAAAAGAAACUAACGAGGAUUCCCUUAGUAACUGCGAGUGAAACGGGAAAAGCCCAGCGCUGAAUCCUUCAACCACUGGUUGCUAGGAAUUGUAGCGUAUAGAUGCGACUAUCCGUUCGUUUCGUGCACCCAAAGUCCCCUGAGCGGGGCUAUAGUCCAAAGAAGGUGCUAGACCUGUACGGGUGGCGAAGCGAAUGGUUGAUCGCUCCUUGGAGUCGGGUUGCCUGGGAUCGCAGCCCAAAGUUGGUGGUAGAUCUCAUCUAAGGCUAAAUAUGGCCACGAAACCGAUAGCAAACAAGUACCGUGAGGGAAAGUUGCAAAGAACUUUGAAGAGAGAGUUCAAGAGGGCGUGAAACCGUUGAGAUUGAAACGGAUAGAGUUAACGGAAUCGGCUGCAUUCAUCCGAUCGGCUUAAUGGCUCAAUAGCGUUUGCAUUCUCGAUGAGAGCAACGUUAUCGAUAACUAUUCGGUAAUUGAUCGGUGUAUUUGCGGCUGGUAUGCGCUGAGAGUUUUGUGAUCGUAUGUUAACGGAUGUGAAGUGGACCAUUCUUUUCGGGCGUGGAACCCUUCAUAUCUUUAGGCAUAUCGAUUAUAAAAUUUUAAACGUAUCGUCUCCGCUAUUGUGCGUCGCCUUAUGUCUACUAUUGUGAUUAUUGAAUAUUCGCAUGCGAAUAUUUGUGGUCAACAAUAUUACGAUAUGAGUGAUAUGGACGCGUUGAGACGUAUAUCUCGGUGUGAACGUUGACCACCUAUCCGACCCGUCUUGAAACACGGACCAAGGAGUCUAGCAUAUGCGCGAGUCAUUGGGUGGUAAACCUAAGGGCGUAAUGAAAGUAAAAGUCACCUCGAUGUGGCCGAUAUGGGAUCCGGAGAGCUUAUGAGCAAUUCGGCGCACCAUAGCCCCGUCCUCAUUGCUUGCAAUAGGGCGGAGGUAGAGCGCAUAUGCUGGGACCCGAAAGAUGGUGAACUAUGCCUGAGCAGGAUGAAGCCAGAGGAAACUCUGGUGGAAGUCCGAAGCGGUUCUGACGUGCAAAUCGAUCGUCUGACUUGGGUAUAGGGGCGAAAGACUAAUCGAACCAUCUAGUAGCUGGUUCCCUCUGAAGUUUCCCCCAGGAUAGCUGGAGUUCGUAUGAUGCAGUUAUAUUCGGUAAAGCGAAUGAUUAGAGGAAUUGGGGACGAAACGACCUCAACCUAUUCUCAAACUUUCAAUGGGUAUGAAGUUCCGCUUGCUUGACAUUAAUGAAGCGUGAACAUUGAAUGUGAGCUCCAAGUGGGCCAUUUUUGGUAAGCAGAACUGGCGCUGUGGGAUGAACCAAACGUCGGGUUAAAGUGCCAAACUUCCCGCUCAUGAGACCCCAUGAAAGGGUUGGUUGAUAUAGACAGCAGGACGGUGGCCAUGGAAGUCGGAAACCGCUAAGGAGUGGGUAACAACUCACCUGCCGAAUCAACUAGCCCUGAAAAUGGAUGGCGCUUGAGCGGGAGACUUAUACCCGACCGUUGCAUGGCUUGUGUGUUUCUUCAUGUCUAAGAGAUUCGCCUCGCCGCAACGAGUAAGAGGGUCACAGUGGUUUGCGUUGAAGGCUUUGGGCGUAGGCCCGGCUGGAGCUUCCACUGGUGCAGAUCUUGGUGGUAGUAGCAAAUAUUCAAGUGAGAUCCUUGAAGACUGAAGUGGAGAAGGGUUCCACGUGAACAGCAGUUGAAUGUGGGUCAGUCGGCCCUAAGAUACUGGUAAUGCCAUGUGUUAUCGAGAGAUGGAGUUCAAAUCCGUCUCGUUUAUCGAAAGGGAAACGGGUUAAUAUUCCCGUACCUGGACACGGAGAUAA
RNAcentral lists this ribosomal RNA (2274 nucleotides) under Parascaris univalens. RNAcentral's name for it is "eukaryotic LSU rRNA". The stretch from base 397 to 2274 matches the Rfam family "Eukaryotic large subunit ribosomal RNA", at positions 1 to 1640 of the family's 3401-position model. Lineage: Eukaryota; Metazoa; Nematoda; Chromadorea; Rhabditida; Ascarididae. The record is from RNAcentral.